CCGGCUGCCGUCGCGCGGAUGGCGGUGCCCGGUGAGGUCGGGCAUGACGGUGCGGGCGGGCUCGUACCCCCGCCAGCCGGCC
This 82-nucleotide transfer RNA is filed under the name Actinoplanes auranticolor. RNAcentral describes it as "tRNA-Leu". Lineage: Bacteria; Bacillati; Actinomycetota; Actinomycetes; Micromonosporales; Micromonosporaceae. The record is from RNAcentral.